Molecule: ribosomal RNA, 395 nt
Filed under: uncultured bacterium
Lineage: Bacteria
Description: bacterial SSU rRNA
Rfam family: Bacterial small subunit ribosomal RNA
Source: RNAcentral
AUUGAACGCUGGCGGCAUGCCUUACACAUGCAAGUCGAACGGCAGCGGACCUUCGGGUGCCGGCGAGUGGCGAACGGGUGAGUAAUAUAUCGGAACGUACCUUUCAGUGGGGGAUAACGUAGCGAAAGUUACGCUAAUACCGCAUAUUCUGUGAGCAGGAAAGCAGGGGAUCGCAAGACCUUGCGCUGAUUGAGCGGCCGAUAUCAGAUUAGCUAGUUGGUGAGGUAAAGGCUCACCAAGGCGACGAUCUGUAGCGGGUCUGAGAGGAUGAUCCGCCACACUGGAACUGAGACACGGUCCAGACUCCUACGGGAGGCAGCAGUGGGGAAUUUUGGACAAUGGGCGCAAGCCUGAUCCAGCCAUGCCGCGUGAGUGAAGAAGGCCUGGUUGUAAAG